RNAcentral lists this long non-coding RNA (721 nucleotides) under Pan troglodytes (chimpanzee). RNAcentral's name for it is "long non-coding RNA NONPTRT015402". Lineage: Eukaryota; Metazoa; Chordata; Mammalia; Primates; Hominidae. The record is from RNAcentral.
CAGCUGUUCCCGUGUUCAUGUAAAAGGGCUGAAAGAGAAGGAGUCAGGGGCUCUGAUUCCAAUUCUGCCGUUGACAUCUCAGUGCAACUUCAUGCAGUGAGCGUGGAGGUGAUGACUGUAGAGAUGAUGGUGGAGGUAAUGGCGGGAAUGAUGAUGGAGGUGAUGGUGUAGGGAUGGCAGAAGUGGUGGCAGAGGUGGCGACAGCGAUGAUGGAGGUGAUGGUGAAGGCAUGGUGGAGGGAAUGAUUGUGGAAAUGAUGGUGGAGAUAAUGGCAGGAGUGAUGAUGGAGGUGAUUGUGGAGGGAUGGUGGAGGUGACGAUUGUGGAGAUGAUGGUGGAGGUAAUGGUGGGAGCAGGGAUGGAGCUGAUGGUGGAGGUAAUGGUGGGAGCAGGGAUGGAGCUGAUGGUGGAGGGAUGACAGAAGUGGUGGCAGAGGUGGCGGGAGUGAUUGUGGAGGUGAUCAUUUUGGAGGUGAUGGUAGGAAAUGAUGGAGGUGAUGAAGGGAUGGCAAAAGUGGUGGCAGAGGUGGUGGCAGUGAUCAUGGAGGUGACGGUGGGAGUGGUGGGAGAUGAUAGAGUUGAUGGUAGUGAUUGUGGAGGUAAUGGUGGAGGUGAUGGGGAUGAUGGUGAGGCUAAUGAGGGUAAUGGCAGAGAUGAUAGUGGAGGUGAUGGUGAAGAUAAUGGAAGGUGGUAGUGAAGAUGAUGGCAAGGGUGAUGGUGGAG